GGGUCAGUAGGUUGGUCGUGCCACCGGUACGUACUGGUCUCACUGAUUCCUCCUUCCUGAAGAACCGUAAUACCAUUAAUUUGGUGUUGCGGGGAAACCGGACUGUUACUUUGAAAAAAUUAGAGUGUUUAAAGCAAGCUAACGCUUGAAUACAUUAGCAUGGAAUAAUGAAAUAGGACGAUCGAUCCUAUUUUGUUGGUUUCUAGGAUUGACGUA
RNAcentral lists this ribosomal RNA (216 nucleotides) under Glomeromycotina sp. Its description in RNAcentral is "partial small subunit ribosomal RNA". The stretch from base 40 to 216 matches the Rfam family "Eukaryotic small subunit ribosomal RNA", at positions 686 to 864 of the family's 1831-position model. The record is from RNAcentral. Lineage: Eukaryota; Fungi; Glomeromycota.